AGCCUCAACGGCCCUUAAAGAAAUCACAAGUCCGAUUCAAGAUCAAGUGUCCACCACCCUUGAAUCAAAUCCAGUUCAAGAUUAAGUCUGUGGAAAGUCCUUUGGAGGAAACCAGAAAACUCCUCCAGCCUAGUUCAAGAUCAAAGCUGUGGAAAGUCAACAAGCGCAACAAAAUACGUGCCGAUUCAUUCACUACCAAAGCCAAAGAUCAUCUACCACGUAAAGCUCCUUGUGGUCCAAAUUCAAAGUUCAAGAUCAAGCCUCGACGGCCCUUGAAGAAAUUUCAAACAAAAUUCAAGAACAAGCCUCAACGGCACUUGAAGAAAUUACCAGCCCAGUUCAAGAUCAAGCUUCAACGGCCAUUGGAUCGACAACUACAUUAAGGGACUUCAAAACGCAUCUUCUACAUGUAACAAGCACAUGU
RNAcentral lists this long non-coding RNA (424 nucleotides) under Malus domestica (apple). RNAcentral's name for it is "long non-coding RNA (MDOM_LNC019220)". The record is from RNAcentral. Lineage: Eukaryota; Viridiplantae; Streptophyta; Magnoliopsida; Rosales; Rosaceae.